This 84-nucleotide transfer RNA is filed under the name Spirochaetales bacterium. RNAcentral's name for it is "tRNA-Leu". It matches the Rfam family "tRNA". From Rfam's summary of the family: Transfer RNA (tRNA) molecules are approximately 80 nucleotides in length. RNAcentral also lists the same sequence under 1 other name. Lineage: Bacteria; Pseudomonadati; Spirochaetota; Spirochaetia; Spirochaetales. The record is from RNAcentral.
GCCGAAGUGGUGGAAUAGGUAGACACAAGGGACUUAAAAUCCCUUGCUCUUCGGGGCGUACGAGUUCAAGUCUCGUCUUCGGCA